GCCAGUGUGGCUCAGUUGGUUAGAGCAUUGUCCAGUGCGCUGAAGGGUCACAGGUUCAAUUCCUGGUUAUGGCA
This is a non-coding RNA of Myotis davidii, 74 nucleotides long. The record is from Rfam. NCBI's taxonomy places the organism in Eukaryota, Metazoa, Chordata, Mammalia, Chiroptera, Vespertilionidae.